RNAcentral lists this non-coding RNA (117 nucleotides) under pig gut metagenome. RNAcentral's name for it is "SAM riboswitch (S box leader)". It matches the Rfam family "SAM riboswitch aptamer (S box leader)". Rfam says of the family: The SAM riboswitch is found upstream of a number of genes which code for proteins involved in methionine or cysteine biosynthesis in Gram-positive bacteria. The SAM riboswitch acts at the level of transcription termination control. The record is from RNAcentral.
CCUUAUCAAGAGUGGCGGAGGAACAGGUCCUGCGAAGCCCGGCAACCAUCGCAAGCAGUUGCGGAAAGGUGCCAAGUCCUGCGGAUUGCGGCAAUGCCGUAUUUCCGAGAGAUGAGG